RNAcentral lists this ribosomal RNA (253 nucleotides) under uncultured bacterium. RNAcentral describes it as "partial 16S ribosomal RNA". It matches the Rfam family "Bacterial small subunit ribosomal RNA", at positions 524 to 776 of the family's 1533-position model. The record is from RNAcentral.
GACAGAGGGUGCAAACGUUGUUCGGAAUUACUGGGCGUAAAGCGUGUGUAGGCGGUCUACUAAGUCGGGUGUGAAAGCCCUGGGCUCAACCCAGGAAGUGCACUCGAAACUGGCAGGCUAGAGUACUGGAGAGGUUGGUGGAAUUCUCGGUGUAGAGGUGAAAUUCGUAGAUAUCGAGAGGAACACCGGUGGCGAAGGCGGCAUCCUGGACCGGCAUUGACGCUGAGGAGCGAAAGCCAGGGGAGCAAACAGG